CCUCGGCCUCCCAAAGUGCUGGGAUUACAGGCGUGAGCCACCGCGCCCGGCCAGAAUUUUUGAUUUUAGUUUUAUCAAUGAAUUAACUGUGAUUUUCUCUCCUGUUUCUAUUAUUUUUGCUAUAAUAUGCUGUUAAUUAGUCUCCAAAGAUGGCCCCUAACAAGUUUUCUCCUUGCUUUAUGCACAUAUUUCUACAUACAUCAAAAUGUGGUAGCUUAUCUUUUCUUAUUUCCCCUAAACCUUCACCCUCUGGAAUGGUCUUGUGACUGGUUUUAACCAAGGAAGGUGGGAGAAGUGAUGUUCUAAGAGUUUAAAAUCAAAGCCUUAAGAAGACUAGCAGCUUUACCUUCUUGUCUCUUGGCACCAUGCCUUGAUUUGGGAAGGAGCCCAAGGUACAUGGAGAGGAAUGUGGAGGGUACUGGGUCUUGAUCGACAGCCCCUGCUGAGCUACCAGCUGAAAGCCAGAGACAAUUGCUAGACAUUUAAGUGAAUUAUCUUGACAUACCAGCAGAGUUGAGUCCCCAAAUGACUGUAGCCACAGCUAACAUCACAUGGAACAGAACUGCCCAGUGAGUAGAAGCUCUACAUUUUGUGAGAAGUCUCCGAA
RNAcentral lists this long non-coding RNA (607 nucleotides) under Homo sapiens (human). RNAcentral describes it as "HSALNT0139907". Lineage: Eukaryota; Metazoa; Chordata; Mammalia; Primates; Hominidae. The record is from RNAcentral.